UGGGGAAUUUUGGACAAUGGGCGAAAGCCUGAUCCAGCAAUGCCGCGUGUGUGAAGAAGGCCUUCGGGUUGUAAAGCACUUUUGUCCGGAAAGAAAUCCUUGGCUCUAAUACAGUCGGGGGAUGACGGUACCGGAAGAAUAAGCACCGGCUAACUACGUGCCAGCAGCCGCGGUAAUACGUAGGGUGCAAGCGUUAAUCGGAAUUACUGGGCGUAAAGCGUGCGCAGGCGGUUUGCUAAGACCGAUGUGAAAUCCCCGGGCUCAACCUGGGAACUGCAUUGGUGACUGGCAGGCUAGAGUAUGGCAGAGGGGGGUAGAAUUCCACGUGUAGCAGUGAAAUGCGUAGAGAUGUGGAGGAAUACCGAUGGCGAAGGCAGCCCCUGGGCCAAUACUGACGCUCAUGCACGAAAGCGUGGGGAGCAAACAGGAUUAGAUACCCUGGUAGUCCACGCCCUAAACGAUGUCAACUAGUUGUU
Molecule: ribosomal RNA, 476 nt
Filed under: uncultured bacterium
Lineage: Bacteria
Description: partial 16S ribosomal RNA
Rfam family: Bacterial small subunit ribosomal RNA
Source: RNAcentral